GACAGUGUGGUAUAGUGGCUUAAGUGCUGGAUUAUGACUCUGGAGACAAGGGUUCAAAUCCCUGCUUGGCCA
Molecule: transfer RNA, 72 nt
Filed under: Phrynosoma platyrhinos (Desert horned lizard)
Lineage: Eukaryota; Metazoa; Chordata; Lepidosauria; Squamata; Phrynosomatidae
Description: tRNA-OTHER
Source: RNAcentral